RNAcentral lists this ribosomal RNA (253 nucleotides) under uncultured bacterium. Its description in RNAcentral is "partial 16S ribosomal RNA". It matches the Rfam family "Bacterial small subunit ribosomal RNA", at positions 524 to 776 of the family's 1533-position model. The record is from RNAcentral.
UACGUAGGUGGCAAGCGUUGUCCGGAUUUACUGGGCGUAAAGAGCGCGCAGGCGGUCGUUUAAGUCGAAUGUGAAAGCCCCCGGCUCAACUGGGGAGGGUCAUUCGAUACUGAUCGACUUGAAGGCAGGAGAGGGAAGUGGAAUUCCGGGUGUAGUGGUGAAAUGCGUAGAUAUCCGGAGGAACACCAGUGGCGAAGGCGACUUCCUGGCCUGUUCUUGACGCUGAGGCGCGAAAGCUGGGGGAGCGAACAGG